Long non-coding RNA from Oncorhynchus nerka (sockeye salmon), 5009 nucleotides. RefSeq lists it as uncharacterized. The transcript has 4 exons. The record is from RefSeq and is a predicted model, not a curated record. NCBI's taxonomy places the organism in Eukaryota, Metazoa, Chordata, Actinopteri, Salmoniformes, Salmonidae.
UGUAUUUUCCACCUCGCUGCCGCGGAUGCGAUCCAAAAUUCAACCGAUAAGGUUAUGAAAUAUGAAUAAAGCCACGUAGCAAUAUUAUAGCAAAGUUACAAAUGUCCGAAUUUGGACAGCAUUGACUGACUCGCCGGUGUAAGACACUCCAGAGAGGCCCUAUUCUACAUGAAUCAUCGCAUCGAGGACCGGUCAAGAUGCAAAAGUGGAACAAUGUGAAAUGGGAAAGGGAGCUUGGCGAUGGUGGACCCCCCUUUUGCUUUAGUUGUGAAAGGUUCUUUCCAGACCAAACGUCAUUUCAUGACCACUUUUGUCCUGCGGCUGGUUUCAUCUGCUCCUGUGGAACAGAGUUCUCCAUGUAUGUUGAUAUGAUGGACCACAGCGGAUUACAUGAACCAGGCCACACUGUAAUUAAUUAUAGCACUGUAAAGAAGGAACAAUAUCAGAGGGAGAGAGAGUACAAGGAGCAGCUUUCAAGGCUGGUAUUGACGGCGGGGCAGGGAAGCUGGGCUAAACCUGGACUGACUCCGAUGCUAUCGGCCACUAUGCCACGAGCCACAAAGCCUGCACCUGGUCCAAGUGCCCCAACAACGGACCUCUGGCACCAAUUCCAGCCAGUGGUGUUGGUGGAGACCCUGCGCAAGUUUGGAAGGACAAAGCCCUACAGGUGUGCCUACUGUGAACUGGGCUUUGCAACAAAAGACUUACUCGUAUGGCACCACAACACUCAUGCAAGAAAUAAAGUCCAUGGCUGCCUGCAGUGCGGGGUUCUCUUGCUCAGCAACAACAAGUCACCACAGCCUGGCCACCACCAGUGUGGCUCAUAUCGGGCAACUCCUGAAACCAGAUUUACCACUGCCACAGUGCUGAGUAACAGGAAACAGCCUGUGGGGAAGGCUCAGAAGGUUGUCCAGCGUCUGCACUGUCCUGACCCGUUCAAUGGGGAGCUGCAGCUAGGGAUGCAUAUGGUCUCACAGCAGCCCGUUCCAGGGACUUCUGGAACAAAAUACUUGAAGUGUAGAGUUUGUCAGGAGCCCUUCCAAACUGUCAAGCUGCUCGAGAGGCACCGUUGCACAAUGGCGUCGUCCUUUUUUGCGCAUGAACUGGGUCUAACGUCUGGCAAACAGCUCAAUGGUCACAGAAAAGGGAAGGAGGGGACCAGCCCAAACUCCUUUCCUCGAAGGAAUGGUGACAAGGAGCUGGCGUUCAACAUUCAAACUUCAGCGAAUGUAACUGUAUACGACCACAAGGCAGUAGGCCCGGAUAGGGGCACCGGGUUGUCUGCCAUUUCUGUAAAGACUGAGGUUUCAGACGAUGACUGUUUUGUGAUUGAGGAUGCGCUUUCGUGCUAGUCGGAACUAAGAAACUCUGAAAUUUCCGACUUGCUGACUGGUUGAACACGGCACGUGUAUAACAACCAGUUAGUAAAUCGGAAAUGUCUGUGUUUCCUUGUUCUGACUUGCACGUGAAUGCGGCAUAAAAGCUCCUUCAUCAAACCAAGUCAGCUGUCAUACCAACAAUUAACCUCUUCCCUCUCAGUACUACAGACAUGAACAGUGCAAAAAGCAUUCCCAAUGUGAACCCUCUGCAUUUGCAACAGACAAACAUCUUCUAUGGGUAUGGGCCCUUUUUGUAAGGUACCAGUUUAACUCUAAUCUAACUACUCAAAAUACAACUAAUCUGUCAGUAGCCUAGGUAUUUUAUUUUUUAUCAAUUGUGUGUUUGUCAAAUUCUAUUUAAAAUGUUACAUAUGCAGUAUCAAAUCAGUCUGUAUGGUUCAUAUAACCACAAACAUUGUAUGAAAGUUUGUCUUUUGAAAAUGCUGUUUUUUUUUGUUUUUACAGUAACUUUACUGAAAACUUGGUAUAAGCAGCAUUGGCCAUAUCACAAGAACAUGUUGGUUCUUUUUAGCCAUUUCUGUAGUCUUGGAAUAAAAUAUUGUUUUGUUUCCGCUCUCUCCCUUUCCUUUGUAGCAACUAAGGUGUAAUAAUCUGUGUGUUUUUCGUAUUUCAGGGACCAAAGCAAUAGCUGCAGCCAUAAGUGAUUGCUGGAAAAGGCUAUACGGACACUCCUGACCUGCAAAACAUUUUUUUUUUUCAGAGAUACUUAAAAUUGUGUUACGGUUAGAGGUAGGGUUAAGGUAAGAGACAGUUUAAGAUUUUGGUUAGUUUUACAAGUCAGGGUCUCUUUUAUAGCCCUUGCCAAGAGUGCAUGAUGGAAAUGCAGAUCAUAUAUUCACUGAUUGCUUGGGAUAGUGCUCAGACAGUUUGUCACUUGUGAAUAGCACACAAAAAUAGGGGUUUGUUGUCUUUAGAAUAUUUAGCUAUCUCAUGAGAAUUUUAUACGCACUGCACUAGGUUUUUUUGUUAAACUUUUUUUAUUUUACACCGGUUGUCCACCUUUGAUGAGGUGGCACCGCGACGCCAUUUCCGGCCUACCGGAUGUUGAGUGAGGAGGAAAAAAACAAUUGAAUCACGAAUACAAUAAGCUAACAUUUCAAAUUAUGGCACACACCACUGUAUCUGAACGUUGGCGAAAACAUCAAUAUUAUGUGCAAUGCAUUAUUUAUAAAUAUUGAUAUUUGUCGGGUUUGGACUAAAACACGGUAUGUUGACAUUAGCUAGCUAGUAGCUUUCAUCAUGUCGACAGCUAUCUAACUGGUGGUUCGAGGACAAGUUUGCACUAACACAUUUGUGGAUAAUCUGGAUGUCAGACAGCCUCUAUGGGUUGUGGUGCCUACAACCUAUCAAUUUGAUUCAAGGCAUGGAAGACACAAGUUGGAACAUUCAAACCCAACAGAACAACACUACAUCCGUAUGUGAGAUGCAUGUGGGCUGUUUUUUGGGUACCUGGAGACGGUAGUGGCCGUUACUUGGCUAGAUUGUGGUGGAAGAGGAGACGCGUAGUUUGAACAAAAGCUGGAUGAUCGUUCUUGCCUGGGCUACUAUUGGAGGAUCUACGUUGAACAUUUAAAUUUUCCUCAUCAGUCCCGCCAGAGAGCCUGCCUAAAAAUAAAGACAGUAAGUAUUAAAAUAGCAUAAGAAAGUCACUCAUGUAUGUUGGAAAUAGUAGCAUAUUGUUACUAGUAUCACAGAGGCUAGAAAAACUCCAUCCUGAAUCUAGUUUUUAUGAGAAUUCACCUCUUCCCUAUGUGAAAACACAGAGCAAGAGACUGACUGACAUGGGAAGUAAAAUUUCCUUCAGUAGAGGAGUCAAUGAUGAGGAAACAGUCAGCCUUAUCUGCUGCCCAUAGCAACCCUCCUGAACCCUUGCCUGCCCUGACUAACGAGAAACCGGAAACUGCUGAUACUGGCAAUGGAGACGCUACUGUUCUAAUGUGUCCCCCUUCAGUGUAUUUUCAUGUCUAGAACUGUAUAUCUGAUACAAUAUACCCAUAUAUUUGUGCGAUAUGUGCUGCGUCUGUCUGUUUCUCUAUAUUUGAUUAUGAAAACUAAGACCGGCGCAAAAGGAAAGCAUUAACGUGUUAUAUAUUUUUUAUAUAUAUAUACAGUGAGGGGGAAAAGUAUUUGAUCCCCUGCUGAUUUUGUACGUUUGCCCACUGACAAAGAAAUUAUCAGUCUAUAAUUUUAAUGGUAGGUUUAUUUGAACAGUGAGAGACAGAAUAACAACAAAAAAUACAGAAAACGCAUGUCAAAAAUUUUAUACAUUUAUUUGCAUUUUCAUGAGGGAAAUAAGUAUUUGACCCCUCUGCAAAACAUGACUUAGUACAAAACCCUUAUUGGCAAUCACAGAGGUCAAACAUUUCUCGUAGUUGGCCACCAGGUUUGCACACAUCUCAGGAGGGAUUUUGUCCCACUCCUCUUUGCAGAUCUUCUCUAAGUCAUUAAGGUUUUGAGGCUGACGUUUGGCAACUCAAACCUUCAGCUCCCUCCACAGAUUUUCUAUGGGAUUAAGGUCUGGAGACUGGCUAGGCCACUCCAGGACCUUAAUGUGCUUCUUCUUGAGCCACUCCUUUGUUGCCUUGGCCGUGUGUUUUGGGUCAUUGUCAUGCUGGAAUAUCCAUUCACGACCCAUUUUCAAUGCCCUGGUUGAGGGAAGGAGGUACAUGGCCCCGUCCAUCGUCCCUUUGAUGCGGUGAAGUUGUCUUGUCCCCUACGAGAAAAACAUCCCCAAAGCAUAAUGUUUCCACUUCUAUGUGUGACGGUGGGGAUGGUGUUCUUGGGGUCAUAGGCAGCUUUCCUCCUCCUCCAAACACGGCGAGUUGAGUUGAUGCCAAAGAGCUCCAUUUUGGUCUCAUCUGACCACAACACUUUCACCCAGUUGUCCUCUGAAUCAUUCAGAUGUUCAGUGGCAAACAUCAGAUGAGCAUGUAUAUGUGCUUUCUUGAGCAGGGGUAACUUGAGGGUACUGCAGGAUUUCACUCCUUCACUGCGCAGUGUGUUACCAAUUGUUUUCUUGGAGACUGUGGUCCCAGCUGCCUUGAGAUCAUUGACAAGUUCCUCCCGUGUAGUUCUGGGCUGAUUCAUCACCAUUCUCAUGAUCAUUGCAACUCUACGAGGUGAGAUCUUGCAUGGAGCUUCAGGCCGAGGGAGAUUGACAGUUCUUUUGUGUUUCUUCCAUUUGAGAAUAAUGGCACCAACUGUUGUCACCUUCUCACCAAGCUGCUUGGCGAUGGUCUUGUAGCCCAUUCCAUCCUUGUGUAGGUCUACAAUCUUGUCCCUGACAUCCUUAGAGAGCUCUUUGGUCUUGGCCAUGGUGGCAAGUUUGGAAUCUGAUUGAUUGAUUGCUUCUGUGGACAGGUGUCUUUUAUACAGGUAACAAACUGAGAUUAGAAGCACUCCCUUUAAGAGUGUGCUCAUAAUCUCAGCUCGUUACCUGUAUAAAAGACACCUGGGGGCCAGAAAUCUUUCUGAUUGAGAGGGGGUCAAACACUUAUUUCCCUCAUUAAAAUGCAAAUCAAUUUAUAACAUUAUUGACAUGUGUUUUUCUGGAUUUUUGUUGUUGUUAUUCUGUCUCUCAUUGUUCAAAUAAACCUACCAUUAAAAUUA